Molecule: transfer RNA, 113 nt
Organism: Phlebiopsis gigantea 11061_1 CR5-6
Lineage: Eukaryota; Fungi; Basidiomycota; Agaricomycetes; Polyporales; Phanerochaetaceae
Rfam family: tRNA
About the family: Transfer RNA (tRNA) molecules are approximately 80 nucleotides in length. Their secondary structure includes four short double-helical elements and three loops (D, anti-codon, and T loops).
Source: Rfam
GGCAAGAUGGCCGAGCGGUCUAAGGCGCCGGAUUCAAGCGCCAAGCUUGCUGACGACUUGUCAGCUGAUUCCCGGUCACGAAAGUGGCGCGAGUUCGAAUCUCGCUCUUGUCA